GGACCCGCACAAGCGGUGGAGCAUGUGGUUUAAUUCGAUGCAACGCGAAAAACCUUACCUACUCUUGACAUACUUGGAAGCUCUUGUAAUGAGAGUGUGCCUUUUGGAGCCAAGAUACAGGUGCUGCAUGGCUGUCGUCAGCUCGUGUCGUGAGAUGUUCCGUUAAGUCGGAUAACGAGCGCAACCCUUACCCUUAUUUGCCAGCGAUUCGGUCGGGAACUAUAAGGGGACUGCCGGUGAUAAACCGGAGGAAGGUGAGGACGACGUCAAGUCAUCAUGGCCCUUACGAGUAGGGCUACACACGUGCUACAAUGGGGAAUACAGACGGACGCUAAGCCGCGAGGUGGUG
Molecule: ribosomal RNA, 349 nt
Filed under: uncultured bacterium
Lineage: Bacteria
Description: bacterial SSU rRNA
Rfam family: Bacterial small subunit ribosomal RNA
Source: RNAcentral